GCAAGUCGAACGAGAAAGCCCCUUCGGGGGUGAGUAGAGUGGCGCACGGGUGAGUAACACGUGGAUAAUCUGCCUGAUAAUCCGGGAUAACAUCUCGAAAGGGGUGCUAAUACCGGAUAAGCCCACAGCCUCCUCGGAGGCAGCGGGAAAAGAUGGCCUCUUCUUGAAAGCUAUUGUUAUCAGAUGAGUCCGCGGUCCAUUAGCUAGUUGGUAGGGUAACGGCCUACCAAGGCGACGAUGGAUAGCUGGUUUGAGAGAAUGAUC
RNAcentral lists this ribosomal RNA (264 nucleotides) under uncultured bacterium. RNAcentral describes it as "partial 16S ribosomal RNA". It matches the Rfam family "Bacterial small subunit ribosomal RNA", at positions 57 to 305 of the family's 1533-position model. The record is from RNAcentral.